Molecule: ribosomal RNA, 274 nt
Filed under: uncultured bacterium
Lineage: Bacteria
Description: partial 16S ribosomal RNA
Rfam family: Bacterial small subunit ribosomal RNA
Source: RNAcentral
AUACGAACUGCGCGAACGUUAUUCGGAAUCACUGGGCUUAAAGAGUCCGUAGGCGGCUCGGUAGGUGGGGUGUGAAAGCCCACGGCUCAACCGUGGAAUAGCGCUCCAAACCAUCGGGCUUGAGGGAGAUAGAGGAGAGUGGAACUGAUGGUGGAGCGGUGAAAUGCGUUGAUAUCAUCAGGAACACCGGUGGCGAAAGCGGCUCUCUGGGUCUCUUCUGACGCUGAGGGACGAAAGCUAGGGGAGCGAACGGGAUUAGAAACCCCUGUAGUCC